AAUUGACAUUAAUCCAUAAUAUUGUUUCUACAAAAGCAUGGCUAACAAGGGAGUUUCGGUUCUUCAAUUUGCAUUUUUUCUACUUCUUAUAGAAUUUGGACAUAUACAAUUGGGUUCGGUCGAGCCUGCAAUUAACCGGGUCGCACCUCGUGGUUCAAGUUGUGAGUGCAAAGAUCACCCUGAGCUUGGUGAAUGUAAACCGGGAGAAGAUGAUGAUAGACGUAGAAAUGGAAAAUGUUUUGAAUUAUGCACCUUUUAUGGAUGUGUUAAAUGGGGCACCUGCAGACCAGUUGGAAACACACAUGUCUGUCAUUGCAAUUGUUAGCAACUUACUUUUUACAUACGAAAAACUAAAUGAUGGAAAUCAAUGAUUUAAUUUAGUAAAAUUUCCAUAUAUUUUAUGAAUUACAAUGUAUGCUUUAAUUCUAUCUACGUGUAACGAAAAAAUGAUUGAUCGAUGUUAUUUCUUUUUAUUCA
Molecule: long non-coding RNA, 477 nt
Organism: Lycium barbarum (goji berry)
Lineage: Eukaryota; Viridiplantae; Streptophyta; Magnoliopsida; Solanales; Solanaceae
Exons: 2
Source: RefSeq, a predicted model, not a curated record